UACAUCACAAACGAAGUAUCAGUUACAGGUUACUUUAACAUUUAACAGCUCCCAUAUCGUGGGCAGAUCAUACUGCCUUGAAUUGGAAAAAUCAGACAGGUAAAGAAUAUACAGAACAGCAAAGAAGAAAUUGAAGCUGUGAAGUUUAAUCCUGAGCAGAAACCUCAGCUUUUACAAGGCAAACAGGUUUAGCAGGCUGUGCCUCUGGAGAUACAUCCACAAGCUGUUCCAGCCUGCCUCUCCCAGAACAGGUUGUUCUAAGGCACAGAUAAUCCAAUCAAAACAGGUGAUGC
Molecule: long non-coding RNA, 293 nt
Filed under: Pavo cristatus (Indian peafowl)
Lineage: Eukaryota; Metazoa; Chordata; Aves; Galliformes; Phasianidae
Description: lncRNA (ENSPSTG00000010125.1)
Source: RNAcentral